Molecule: transfer RNA, 84 nt
Filed under: Verrucomicrobiota bacterium
Lineage: Bacteria; Pseudomonadati; Verrucomicrobiota
Description: Verrucomicrobia bacterium (freshwater metagenome) tRNA-Leu
Rfam family: tRNA
About the family: Transfer RNA (tRNA) molecules are approximately 80 nucleotides in length. Their secondary structure includes four short double-helical elements and three loops (D, anti-codon, and T loops).
Source: RNAcentral
GCCCGGGUGGCGAAAUGGCAGCCGCAGCAGACUCAAAAUCUGCCGCCCUCUAAAGGCAUGAAGGUUCGAGUCCUUUCCCGGGCA